RNAcentral lists this ribosomal RNA (2887 nucleotides) under Vibrio parahaemolyticus 10290. RNAcentral's name for it is "bacterial LSU rRNA". It matches the Rfam family "Bacterial large subunit ribosomal RNA". Lineage: Bacteria; Pseudomonadati; Pseudomonadota; Gammaproteobacteria; Vibrionales; Vibrionaceae. The record is from RNAcentral.
UUAAGUGACUAAGCGUACACGGUGGAUGCCUUGGCAGUCAGAGGCGAUGAAAGACGUAGUAACUUGCGAUAAGCCCAGAUUAGGUAGUAACAACCAUUUGAGUCUGGGAUUUCUGAAUGGGGAAACCCACGUGCAUAAGCACGUAUCCUUACCUGAAUACAUAAGGUAAGGAGGCGAACCGGGGGAACUGAACAUCUAAGUACCCCGAGGAAAAGAAAUCAACCGAGAUUCCGAAAGUAGCGGCGAGCGAAAUUGGACUAGCCCUUAAGCUUUACACGCGUUAGACGAACGGUCUGGAAAGUCCGACGAUACAGGGUGAUAGUCCCGUAGUUGACGACGUGUGUUCAGUGAAAUCGAGUAGGGCGGGACACGUGAUAUCCUGUCUGAAUAUGGGGGGACCAUCCUCCAAGGCUAAAUACUACUGACUGACCGAUAGUGAACCAGUACCGUGAGGGAAAGGCGAAAAGAACCCCUGUGAGGGGAGUGAAAUAGAACCUGAAACCGUGUACGUACAAGCAGUAGGAGCAGGCUUUGUCCUGUGACUGCGUACCUUUUGUAUAAUGGGUCAGCGACUUAUAUUCAGUGGCAAGGUUAACCAUCUAGGGGAGCCGUAGGGAAACCGAGUCUUAACUGGGCGUUCAGUCUCUGGAUAUAGACCCGAAACCAGGUGAUCUAGCCAUGGGCAGGUUGAAGGUUGAGUAACAUCAACUGGAGGACCGAACCGACUAAUGUUGAAAAUUAGCGGAUGACUUGUGGCUAGGGGUGAAAGGCCAAUCAAACCUGGAGAUAGCUGGUUCUCCCCGAAAGCUAUUUAGGUAGCGCCUCGGACGAAUACUACUGGGGGUAGAGCACUGUUAAGGCUAGGGGGUCAUCCCGACUUACCAACCCUUUGCAAACUCCGAAUACCAGUAAGUACUAUCCGGGAGACACACGGCGGGUGCUAACGUCCGUCGUGGAGAGGGAAACAACCCAGACCGCCAGCUAAGGUCCCAAAUUACUACUAAGUGGGAAACGAUGUGGGAAGGCUCAGACAGCCAGGAUGUUGGCUUAGAAGCAGCCAUCAUUUAAAGAAAGCGUAAUAGCUCACUGGUCGAGUCGGCCUGCGCGGAAGAUGUAACGGGGCUAAGUAGUAAACCGAAGCUGCGGCAAUAUACUUUUGUAUAUUGGGUAGGGGAGCGUUCUGUAAGCGGUUGAAGGUGUGUGGUAACGCAUGCUGGACGUAUCAGAAGUGCGAAUGCUGACAUGAGUAACGAUAAAGGGGGUGAAAAACCUCCUCGCCGGAAGACCAAGGGUUCCUGUCCAACGUUAAUCGGGGCAGGGUAAGUCGACCCCUAAGGCGAGGCCGAAAGGCGUAGUCGAUGGGAAACGGGUUAAUAUUCCCGUACUUCUUACAAUUGCGAUGGGGGGACGGAGAAGGCUAGGUGGGCCUGGCGACGGUUGUCCAGGUUCAAGUGCGUAGGCUUAAGAGUUAGGUAAAUCCGGCUCUUUUUAAGGCUGAGACACGACGUCGAGCACCUACGGGUGUGAAGUCAUUGAUGCCAUGCUUCCAGGAAAAGCCUCUAAGCUUCAGAUUGUAAGGAAUCGUACCCCAAACCGACACAGGUGGUCGGGUAGAGAAUACCAAGGCGCUUGAGAGAACUCGGGUGAAGGAACUAGGCAAAAUGGUACCGUAACUUCGGGAGAAGGUACGCUCUUGAUGGUGAAGUCCCUUGCGGAUGGAGCUGACGAGAGUCGCAGAUACCAGGUGGCUGCAACUGUUUAUUAAAAACACAGCACUGUGCAAAAUCGUAAGAUGACGUAUACGGUGUGACGCCUGCCCGGUGCCGGAAGGUUAAUUGAUGGGGUUAGACUUCGGUCGAAGCUCUUGAUCGAAGCCCCGGUAAACGGCGGCCGUAACUAUAACGGUCCUAAGGUAGCGAAAUUCCUUGUCGGGUAAGUUCCGACCUGCACGAAUGGCGUAAUGAUGGCCACGCUGUCUCCACCCGAGACUCAGUGAAAUUGAAAUCGCUGUGAAGAUGCAGUGUACCCGCGGCUAGACGGAAAGACCCCGUGAACCUUUACUACAGCUUGGCACUGAACAUUGACCCUACAUGUGUAGGAUAGGUGGGAGGCUUUGAAGCACGUACGCCAGUAUGUGUGGAGCCGUCCUUGAAAUACCACCCUUGUAGUGUUGAUGUUCUAACGUCGACCCCUUAUCGGGGUUGCGGACAGUGCCUGGUGGGUAGUUUGACUGGGGCGGUCUCCUCCCAAAGAGUAACGGAGGAGCACGAAGGUGGGCUAAUCACGGUUGGACAUCGUGAGGUUAGUGCAAUGGCAUAAGCCCGCUUGACUGCGAGAAUGACAAUUCGAGCAGGUGCGAAAGCAGGUCAUAGUGAUCCGGUGGUUCUGAAUGGAAGGGCCAUCGCUCAACGGAUAAAAGGUACUCCGGGGAUAACAGGCUGAUACCGCCCAAGAGUUCAUAUCGACGGCGGUGUUUGGCACCUCGAUGUCGGCUCAUCACAUCCUGGGGCUGAAGUCGGUCCCAAGGGUAUGGCUGUUCGCCAUUUAAAGUGGUACGCGAGCUGGGUUUAGAACGUCGUGAGACAGUUCGGUCCCUAUCUGCCGUGGGCGUUGGAAGAUUGAAGGGGGCUGCUCCUAGUACGAGAGGACCGGAGUGGACGAACCUCUGGUGUUCGGGUUGUGUCGCCAGACGCAUUGCCCGGUAGCUAAGUUCGGAAUCGAUAACCGCUGAAAGCAUCUAAGCGGGAAGCGAGCCCUGAGAUGAGUCUUCCCUGAUACUUUAAGUAUCCUAAAGGGUUGUCGGAGACUACGACGUUGAUAGGUCAGGUGUGUAAGUGCUGUGAGGCAUUGAGCUAACUGAUACUAAUUGCCCGUGAGGCUUAACCAU